CCAGACUCGGUAUUGGCAAGGAGCACAAAGAAAGGAGGAAGCUGGCAGACAAGCUGGCUCGAGAAGAAUCUGAGAGUACUUCAAGUUCUGCUGCAGUGCUUGGUGAGAUGGACGACGUCACAGCACAGAAGUCAUGUGGAGGUUCCUGCAGUCGGCAGCCUGUGGACAGCACCACCACAGACUUGAAGGUGUCCGGUGUUGCUGGUUGUGAAGAGGAAGUGAAGAAGUUGCAGCUGGACAGGAGGAAGCCAACUGUUGAUGAUAUAGAUUUCUAACCUCAUGAAAAAACUGUAACAAUUAAAUAUCUGUGAGCCACUUUGACAAAGUAA
Long non-coding RNA from Haliotis rubra (blacklip abalone), 329 nucleotides. RefSeq lists it as uncharacterized. The record is from RefSeq and is a predicted model, not a curated record. The transcript is spliced from 2 exons. NCBI's taxonomy places the organism in Eukaryota, Metazoa, Mollusca, Gastropoda, Lepetellida, Haliotidae.